RNAcentral lists this unclassified non-coding RNA (188 nucleotides) under uncultured fungus. RNAcentral's name for it is "sequence contains ITS1". The record is from RNAcentral. Lineage: Eukaryota; Fungi.
GUAUUUUGAAUUAAGUAUUCAUACAAAGUAUUUCAGACAAACUAGUUAAAGAUAUAAGGGUAUAUAUAAUCCUCUGUAGAACAUACAUUCUGCAGAGAAUUGACAUUGCACACAAGGUGGAUAUGGAUUUAAAAAGUGCCAUAAAACACUUAUUAUGAAUGAUCCUUCCGCAGGUUCACCUACGGAAA